AUUAAAUGAGAGUUUGAUCCUGGCUCAGGACGAACGCUGGCGGCGUGCCUAAUACAUGCAAGUAGAACGCUGAAGACUUUAGCUUGCUAAAGUUGGAAGAGUUGCGAACGGGUGAGUAACGCGUAGGUAACCUGCCUACUAGCGGGGGAUAACUAUUGGAAACGAUAGCUAAUACCGCAUAACAGCAUUUAACCCAUGUUA
RNAcentral lists this ribosomal RNA (201 nucleotides) under Streptococcus sp. 45. Its description in RNAcentral is "partial 16S rRNA. Bacterial SSU". It matches the Rfam family "Bacterial small subunit ribosomal RNA", at positions 1 to 195 of the family's 1533-position model. Lineage: Bacteria; Bacillati; Bacillota; Bacilli; Lactobacillales; Streptococcaceae. The record is from RNAcentral.